RNAcentral lists this ribosomal RNA (825 nucleotides) under uncultured bacterium. Its description in RNAcentral is "bacterial SSU rRNA". It matches the Rfam family "Bacterial small subunit ribosomal RNA", at positions 650 to 1463 of the family's 1533-position model. The record is from RNAcentral.
GGAAGAGAGAAGUGGAAUUCUCGGAGUAGCGGUAAAAUGCGUAGAUCUCGAGAGGAACACCAAUGGCGAAGGCAGCUUCUUGGUCCAUUCCUGACGUUCAUGCACGAAAGCGUGGGGAGCAAACAGGAUUAGAUACCCUGGUAGUCCACGCUGUAAACGAUGAUCACUAGACGUUAAUCUUGUUUAACAGGAUUAGUGUCGUAGCUAACGCGUUAAGUGAUCCGCCUGGGGAUUACGGUCGCAAGACUAAAACUCAAAGGAAUUGACGGGGGCCCGCACAAGCGGUGGAACAUGUGGUUUAAUUCGACACUACGCGAGGAACCUUACCUAGGCUUGACAUGCUUUUGACAGUCGUAGAAAUACGAUCUUUCUGGCUUCGGUCAGGACAAUUGCACAGGUGCUGCAUGGCUGUCGUCAGCUCGUGUCGUGAGAAGUUGGGUUAAGUCCUCUAACGAGCGCAACCCCUGCUGUCAGUUGCUAGUUACGUGAGUAACGCACUCUGAUGGGACUGCCUGGGAAACCAGGAGGAAGGUGGGGAUGACGUCAAGUCCUCAUGGCCUUUAUGCCUAGGGCGACACACGUGUUACAAUGGUUGGUACAAAGGGUUGCGAGUCCGCAAGGCCAAGCUAAUCCCUUAAAGCCAAUCUAAGUUCAGAUUGAGGUCUGCAACUCGACCUCAUGAAGUUGAAAUCGCUAGUAAUCGCGCAUCAGAACGGCGCGGUGAAUACGUUCUCGGGCCUUGUACACACCGCCCGUCACACCAUGAGAGCUGUUUGUACCCAAAAACAUUUUAGCCAACCCGUAAGGGAGGCGAAUGUCUAAGGU